Long non-coding RNA from Hemicordylus capensis (graceful crag lizard), 1517 nucleotides. RefSeq lists it as uncharacterized. Lineage: Eukaryota; Metazoa; Chordata; Lepidosauria; Squamata; Cordylidae. The transcript has 4 exons. The record is from RefSeq and is a predicted model, not a curated record.
ACCUCUGCCUGAGCUGCUGAGAGGGUUUCUGAGGUAGUGUGGAGAUGGAGGGAGGGCUCUUCUCUUCUUUCAGACGGGAGUGACCUUUGAGGAGGUGGCCGCCGUGCAUUUCUCCACAGAGGUGUGGGGCCUGCUGACUCCAAACCAAAGAGCCUUAUACAAGGAGGUCAUGCUGGAGAACCAUGGGAACAUGGCCUCACUGGAGCUCUGGGAGCUACCAGCACAGGAAAGAAGCUUCGGGUGCCAGAAAAUGGUGGUUUUGCAGUGGAGCAAGUUGCAAUAAGGCAGCUUGUACAAAGAUUAACACCUACAGAAUAAGUCCCUAAACCUGACCUCACCUCUCAGCUGAAGCAAGGAAAAGAACUAUGGGUGCCAGACGGUCUGGUUUUGGAUGAAGUGGCAAUCUUGGAGUGUGACCCCAAUUCAGCAUUCUGGGAAGUGUAGUCAUUAACAGAGUCUACAGAAAAUCUCAAGGAACAAACUUGCCAAUAUACAAACGCGGGUAACAACUGCAGUGACAAGGAAAUAAGGAGCACGCAAGCAAAAAGGGAACUGGUAAGCGAGAUCUGUAGAGGGCGUGGGAGAUGAAAAGGGACAGGUUUUGUUUUUCUUUAGUCUUACAGUUGUGCCAGGAAUUUAGUGACGAGAUCUGUCUCUUUUAUGUUGCUUCUGGCGCUUAUUUUGAAAUCUCUGCUGCUUUUCCUGAGUUUUGCCUCCCCUACGACUGCAGUCUUCGUCUCCCUUCAUCGAAAAAGCCCUUUGCACUCACCUGAUUCUCCAAAAGAUUCCUCCAGCUGCAGGCAACCCGCGUGGGAAAUUCAAACGCGACUUUCCCACGGUAGGCGGAGCCGGAAGUGACCUACUGCGCGACUAACCAGCAUUCCUACCUACCAUUCAGCCCAUCUAGGAAUCCUCCUCCUUCAGCUUUAACUCUUACUUUUAUCUAGAGUUAUGAAGUCCAGGCUUGGAAACAAUGCGGACCCAGAAGCAGAAUGUCAAAUCUUAUGUAACCUUUCAAAGUUCAGUGGAACUUUUCUUUUGUCGUUUUGUGUGACUGUUUACUGGUUGAGCUGUAGUUUUUCAAAUCUGCUUUUAAAACAAAAUAACAAAAUUUAAGUUACGGCGGAUUUCAUGUUCUGUUGUUUUGUUCUGUUUGAAUUUUCAAACAGUGCUGAGAAAGGAUUGGCGAAAAAACGUGAAAAGGCAUAAUAUAAUCAGUGUUUUAAAUAAGCAUAUAAAGUAAUAUUAUUCUUGUUUCGCUCGCUUUGUGGUUGACAAGAAUGCUAAUGCCCAAUACAAAUGACAUUUUUCGCCCUCCCUUUCCCACCUUAACAUAUCGCACGAUGCAGACCCCUGGUCCCUCUAGAUCAGGAUUGUCAACACUGACUGGCAGUGACUCAAACAAGGUCUUCCCUAGUCAUGCCUUGAGAUGCCAGGGAUUGAACCUGAGACUUUAUGCAGGCAAAGCAGGAGCUCUACCACUGUUCCAGGAACUGACUAUAUAUAUAGGUAAAGUU